AGAGUUUGAUCCCGGCUCCAGGACGAACGCGGGCGGCGUGCCUAACACAUGCAAUUCGAGCGAGGCUGUUAGAGUGGAAUUUUUCGGAAAGAAACUCUAACUGUCCUAGCGGCGGACGGGUGAGUAACGCGUGAGAAACCUGCCUUUCACAAAGGGAUAGCCUCGGGAAACUGGGAUUAAUACCUUAUGAUACUCUUUUCCAGCAUUGGAGAAAAGUUAAAGCGUAAAGCGGUGAAAGAUGGUCUCGCGUCCCAUUAGUUAGUUGGUGAGGUAACGGCUCACCAAGACCGCGAUGGGUAGCCGGCCUGAGAGGGUGAACGGCCACACUGGAACUGAGACACGGUCCAGACUCCUACGGGAGGCAGCAGUGGGGAAUAUUGCACAAUGGAGGAAACUCUGAUGCAGCGACGCCGCGUGAACGAUGAAGGCUUUCGGGUCGUAAAGUUCUGUCCUAGGGGACGAUAAUGACGGUACCCUAGGAGGAAGCCCCGGCUAACUACGUGCCAGCAGCCGCGGUAAUACGUAGGGGGCGAGCGUUGUCCGGAUUUAUUGGGCGUAAAGGGUUCGCAGGCGGCCCUUUAAGUCAGAUGUGAAAGAUCACGGCUCAACCGUGGUAAGCAUUUGAAACUGGAAGGCUUGAGUUAAGGAGAGGAAAGUGGAAUUCCUAGUGUAGCGGUGAAAUGCGUAGAUAUUAGGAAGAAUACCAGUAGCGAAGGCGACUUACUGGCCUCUAACUGACGCUGAUGAACGAAAGCGUGGGUAGCAAACAGGAUUAGAUACCCUGGUAGUCCACGCCGUAAACGAUGAGUGCUAGGUGUCGGGAGUCAAAUCUCGGUGCCGUAGUAACGCAAUA
This 853-nucleotide ribosomal RNA is filed under the name uncultured bacterium. Its description in RNAcentral is "bacterial SSU rRNA". It matches the Rfam family "Bacterial small subunit ribosomal RNA", at positions 8 to 862 of the family's 1533-position model. The record is from RNAcentral.